ACGAACGCUGGCGGCGUGCCUAAUACAUGCAAGUCGAGCGGAAUGAUGAAGAAGCUUGCUUCUUCUGAUUUUAGCGGCGGACGGGUGAGUAACACGUGGGCAACCUACCUUGUAGAUUGGGAUAACUCCGGGAAACCCGGGGCUAAUACCGAAUAAUCCAUUUUGCUUCAUGGCGAGAUGUUGAAAGACGGUUUCGGCUGUCACUACAAGAUGGGCCCGCGGCGCAUUAGCUAGUUGGUAGGGUAAUGGCCUACCAAGGCGACGAUGCGUAGCCGACCUGAGAGGGUGAUCGGCCACACUGGGACUGAGACACGGCCCAGACUCCGUACGGGAGGCAGCAGUAGGGAAUCUUCCACAAUGGACGAAAGUCUGAUGGAGCAACGCCGCGUGAGUGAAGAAGGUUUUCGGAUCGUAAAACUCUGUUGUAAGGGAAGAACACGUACGAGAGUAACUGCUCGUACCUUGACGGUACCUUAUUAGAAAGCCACGGCUAACUACGUG
Molecule: ribosomal RNA, 501 nt
Filed under: uncultured bacterium
Lineage: Bacteria
Description: bacterial SSU rRNA
Rfam family: Bacterial small subunit ribosomal RNA
Source: RNAcentral